This 73-nucleotide transfer RNA is filed under the name Anaerolineae bacterium. RNAcentral's name for it is "tRNA-Lys". It matches the Rfam family "tRNA". From Rfam's summary of the family: Transfer RNA (tRNA) molecules are approximately 80 nucleotides in length. Their secondary structure includes four short double-helical elements and three loops (D, anti-codon, and T loops). Lineage: Bacteria; Bacillati; Chloroflexota; Anaerolineae. The record is from RNAcentral.
GGCCCACUAGCUCAACUGGCAGAGCAGCUGACUCUUAAUCAGUAGGUUCUCCGUUCGAUCCGGAGGUGGGUCA